Molecule: ribosomal RNA, 773 nt
Filed under: uncultured Neocallimastigales
Lineage: Eukaryota; Fungi; Neocallimastigomycota; Neocallimastigomycetes; Neocallimastigales
Description: partial large subunit ribosomal RNA
Rfam family: Eukaryotic large subunit ribosomal RNA
Source: RNAcentral
UAGUCUCGCACAGAUGCAUAUCAAUAAGCGGAGGAAAAGAAACUAACAAGGAUUCCCCUAGUAACGGCGAGUGAAGCGGGAAGAGCUCAAAUUUGAAAUCUUAAAGGGUUUCCCUUUACGAAUUGUAGUUUAAAGAAGUGUUUUCUGUUGAGGUUUUGGUAAAAGUUCUUUGGAAUAGGACAUCAUAGAGGGUGAGAAUCCCGUAUUUGACCUUUACUUUCAACUUUGUGAUACACUUUCAAAGAGUCGGAUUGUUUGGGAAUGCAGUCCAAAAUGGGUGGUAAAUUUCAUCUAAAGCUAAAUAUUGGCGAGAGACCGAUAGCGAACAAGUACCGUGAGGGAAAGAUGAAAAGAACUUUGAAAAGAGAGUUAAACAGUACGUGAAAUUGUCAAAAGGGAAGCGUUUGACACCAGUGUUGUUUUUCUGAAAAUCAAUUAAAGAACUGUUUAUGCUAAGCUGUUUAGACUUUAUCAGCUAACUGUUUAGUUUUGAGCUUUUCUUUAAUGCACUUUUCAGUUAACAAGUCAACAUCAAUUUCUUUUGCUGUAAAAAAGCUUGAGGAAGGUGGCUUGAGAUUCGUCUUAAGUGUUUAUAGCCUCUUGCCUAUGCAGUCGGAGAGAUUGAGGUCUGCAGCGUAGAUCCUUCGGGGCUAAAUGCAUUUGUGCUAAGUUAUAGCAUUUUAUAGACAACUUGUUGACUAUGAUUUGUCUUGUAGCUUACUCGCUUAUGUUAUUUUACCUACGCUUAGGAUGUUGAGUAGCGACAUACGCAC